UGAGGAAUUUUGGUCAAUGGACGGAAGUCUGAACCAGCCAAGUCGCGUGAAGGAAGGCGGCCCUAAGGGUUGUAAACUCCUUUUGUAAGGGAAGAAAGGUCGGUACGUGGUACCGGUUUGCAAGUACCUAACGAAUAAGGAUCGGCUAACUCCGUGCCAGCAGCCGCGGUAAUACGGAGGAUCCGAGCGUUAUCCGGAUUUAUUGGGUUUAAAGGGUGCGCAGGCGGGGGAUUAGGUCGGCGGUGAAAUAUCAGGGCUCAACCUUGAGAGUGCCGUCGAAACCGGUUUUCUUGAGUGCGGAUGAAGUAGGCGGAAUUUGUCGUGUAGCGGUGAAAUGCGUAGAUAUCACAAAGAACACCGAUUGCGGAGGCAGCUUACUAAACCGCAACUGACGCUCAUGCACGAAGGCGUGGGGAUCAAACAGG
This 425-nucleotide ribosomal RNA is filed under the name uncultured prokaryote. RNAcentral describes it as "bacterial SSU rRNA". It matches the Rfam family "Bacterial small subunit ribosomal RNA", at positions 355 to 776 of the family's 1533-position model. The record is from RNAcentral. RNAcentral also lists the same sequence under 1 other name.